Tachyglossus aculeatus (Australian echidna) is the source of this 205-nucleotide small nucleolar RNA. RefSeq annotates it as small nucleolar RNA SNORA74. Lineage: Eukaryota; Metazoa; Chordata; Mammalia; Monotremata; Tachyglossidae. The record is from RefSeq and is a predicted model, not a curated record. The transcript has a single exon.
UCCAGCGGUAAGUCAGCUGUCCAGGGUGUUUCUGUUCCUGUGACAGUGUUACGCUGCUGGGAGAUUAAUGUUCUGUCGUUUAAAUCUGGUUGCCAUUGUCACCGUUCUGGUAACUUCUGGAACCAGCGCAGGGCAGAACUCUGCCUUUUGAGAGUGUGCUAAACAUGUACACUGGCUGUUUAGUGCUAGUCUGGGGGCAGACAUA